This 1427-nucleotide long non-coding RNA is filed under the name Homo sapiens (human). RNAcentral describes it as "non-protein coding lnc-SLC15A4-32:1". The record is from RNAcentral. Lineage: Eukaryota; Metazoa; Chordata; Mammalia; Primates; Hominidae.
AUAAAUGCUAGACAUAAAGGUUCUCCACGUCCCCACCAGACUCAGGAGCCCAGCUGGCCUCACCCAGUGGAUCCCGCACCAGGGCCGCAGAUAAGAAGUGACUUUCGCCCUCUGCCAUGAUUGUGAGACCUCCUCAGCCACGUGGAACUUCUUUGAGUAUGCUCAGCGCGUGCCAUCAUGGGGCCAUGUUCUUCCCCUUUGCUCUUGGAGAAUAGACAAAGCUACCCAGCCCAGCCACAGCCUCAUAAUCUUGUUCUACCUCCCUCUCCAGCCUCAACUAUUUCCAGGCUCCAGCUCAAGUCAUACAUCAGAUGGAGUCUUGCUCUGUCACCCAGGCUGGAGUGCAAUGGCGCGAUCUCCACUCACUGCAACCUCUGCAUACCAGGUUCAAGCGAUUCUCCUGUCUCAGCCUCCUGAGUAGCUGGGAUUACAGGUGCCCACCACCACAGCUGGCUAAUUUUUGUAUUUUUAGUAGAGACUGGGUUUUACCAUAUUGGCCAGACUGGUCUCGAACUCCUGACCUCAGGUGGUCCGCCUGCCUUGGCUUCCCAAAGUGCUGGGAUUAUAGGAGUGAGCCACUGCGCCUGGCCAUUUGAUUCUUAUAACACCUUUGAAAGUAGGCAUGACAAAUAUUAUAAUCACAAUGUUACAUAAUAUUAUGCUGGUUUUAGAAAGAAGGGAACUGAGGCUCUGCAGGGUGCUUAGAAGUUUUGCUGCUGAAGUUUAGGUGCAUUUGCUUCUAUUCAAUGUCUUUGUUACCAUCUGAACAACCAUACAGUUGGCUGUGAUGCUGAAAAUGUCCCGUCAUGCACCUACACUGCCACAGACAAUAUAGUGCACCUUGACCUGAGCUCAGAAUUGCAGGUAUAUUAAAUGUUAGUCUUCACCAUUUAAAGGCAACUGUAUUUCCUAUGGAAGAGACUACUCGUUUUCUCCCUAUGCAUUUCCCCCAUAAGAAUAGAAUUUGUGUUUUUUUUGACUUCAUAGGUAGCUGUCCAGAAUAAAGCGUACAUUACCCAGUACACAUUGGGUCAAGGGAAUGUCAGGUGACUAACUAAAUUCUAGAUGAAACUAGAAGUGUCACAUGACAGCUUCCAAGGCAUAGCAAGGACAUGCUCCUCCUAUGGACUACAACCUAGUUUUUUAUUUGUCUUCUCCUAUAUACUUUAAUGUAGAGGUGGUGUCUGUAGCUGUUACUGCCAUCUUGCUAAUGAGAUGAAGAGGAAUGGAGGUCAGAAGCAGAGCAACAAUCUGGAAGAAGCCUGGGUUCCUGACGACCUUUAGGUCCAAACCACUAUUCCAGCUUCAGACCUCUUUCUUAAGAUGUUUUCAUGAGAGAGAAACAAACUUCUCUCUCAUAUAAGCAGCUAAUUUUAGCCUCUAAUUCAAAUGAACACUAUUCUUAACUAAUAAAAUUUUCAGACAAA